This is a non-coding RNA of Brassica napus (rape), 117 nucleotides long. The record is from Rfam. NCBI's taxonomy places the organism in Eukaryota, Viridiplantae, Streptophyta, Magnoliopsida, Brassicales, Brassicaceae.
UGGAGCGAUCAUACCAGUCCUAAUGCAUUGAUUCUCUUUAGAACUCUGCAAUUAAAUGUGUUUGGACAAGAGUAGUAUUAGGAUAGAUGAUUGGAAAAAAUCUUCGUGUUGCACUCU